CCUACGGGAGGCAGCAGUGGGGAAUCUUGCGCAAUGGGCGAAAGCCUGACGCAGCAACGCCGCGUGCGGGAAGAAGGCCUUCGGGUUGUAAACCGCUUUCAGCAGGAACGAAAAUGACGGUACCUGCAGAAGAAGGUGCGGCCAACUAUGUGCCAGCAGCCGCGGUGAUACAUAGGCACCAAGCGUUGUCCGGAUUUAUUGGGCGUAAAGAGCUCGUAGGCGGUUCAGUCAGUCGGGUGUGAAAACUCUGGGCUUAACCCAGAGCCUGCACCCGAUACUGCUGUGACUAGAGUUCGGUAGGGGAGCGGGGAAUUCCUGGUGUAGCGGUGAAAUGCGCAGAUAUCAGGAGGAACACCGGAUGGCGAAGGCACCGCUCUGGGCCGAAACUGACGCUGAGGAGCGAAAGCAUGGGUAGCAAACAGGAUUAGAUACCCUGGUAGUCCCAUGCCGUAAACGUUGGGCACUAGGUNUGGGUUCCAAUCAACGGAAUCCGCGCCGUCGCUAACGCAUUAAGUGCCCCGCCUGGGGGAGUACGUCGCGAGACAACACAAGAAGUAGACGGCGUGAGACGUCGCCGACGGACGACGACGAGGGAGGUUAGG
This 602-nucleotide ribosomal RNA is filed under the name uncultured bacterium. RNAcentral's name for it is "bacterial SSU rRNA". The stretch from base 1 to 523 matches the Rfam family "Bacterial small subunit ribosomal RNA", at positions 338 to 873 of the family's 1533-position model. The record is from RNAcentral.